RNAcentral lists this ribosomal RNA (273 nucleotides) under uncultured bacterium. RNAcentral describes it as "partial 16S ribosomal RNA". It matches the Rfam family "Bacterial small subunit ribosomal RNA", at positions 524 to 796 of the family's 1533-position model. The record is from RNAcentral.
UACGUAGGGACCAAGCGUUGUUCGGAUUUACUGGGCGUAAAGGGCGCGUAGGCGGCGUUGUAAGUCACUUGUGAAAUCUCCGGGCUUAACUCGGAACGGCCAAGUGAUACUGCAGUGCUAGAGUGCGGAAGGGGCAAUCGGAAUUCUUGGUGUAGCGGUGAAAUGCGUAGAUAUCAAGAGGAACACCUGAGGUGAAGACGGGUUGCUGGGCCGACACUGACGCUGAGGCGCGAAAGCCAGGGGAGCAAACGGGAUUAGAAACCCCCGUAGUCC